RNAcentral lists this non-coding RNA (30 nucleotides) under Mus musculus (house mouse). The record is from RNAcentral. Lineage: Eukaryota; Metazoa; Chordata; Mammalia; Rodentia; Muridae.
AGAAACGGGGAGCAGUGUUAAUAACCGGGC